RNAcentral lists this ribosomal RNA (119 nucleotides) under Helianthus annuus (common sunflower). Lineage: Eukaryota; Viridiplantae; Streptophyta; Magnoliopsida; Asterales; Asteraceae. The record is from RNAcentral.
GGUUGCGAUCAUACCAGCACUAAUGCACCGUAUCACAUCAGAACUCCGAAGUGAAGCGUGCUUGCGCUAGACUAGUACUAGGCUGGGUGACCCCCUGGGAAGUCCUCGUGUUGCAACCC